AACGAACGCUGGCGGCAUGCCUAACACAUGCAAGUCGAACGAACCCUUCGGGGUUAGUGGCGCACGGGUGCGUAACGCGUGGGGAUCUGCCCAAAGGUUCGGAAUAACUCAGAGAAAUUUGAGCUAAUACCGGAUAAUGUCUUCGGACCAAAGAUUUAUUGCCUUUGGAUGAACCCGCGUAGGAUUAGCUUGUUGGUGGGGUAAAGGCCUACCAAGGCGACGAUCCUUAGCCGGUCUGAGAGGAUGAUCAGCCACACUGGGACUGAGACACGGCCCAGACUCCUACGGGAGGCAGCAGUGGGGAAUAUUGGACAAUGGGCGAAAGCCUGAUCCAGCAAUGCCGCGUGAGUGAUGAAGGCCUUAGGGUUGUAAAGCUCUUUUACCAGGGAUGAUAAUGACAGUACCUGGAGAAUAAGCUCCGGCUAACUCCGUGCCAGCAGCCGCGGUAAAGUAU
Molecule: ribosomal RNA, 454 nt
Filed under: uncultured bacterium
Lineage: Bacteria
Description: bacterial SSU rRNA
Rfam family: Bacterial small subunit ribosomal RNA
Source: RNAcentral